This 490-nucleotide ribosomal RNA is filed under the name uncultured bacterium. RNAcentral describes it as "partial 16S ribosomal RNA". It matches the Rfam family "Bacterial small subunit ribosomal RNA", at positions 30 to 507 of the family's 1533-position model. The record is from RNAcentral.
AUUGAACGCUGGCGGCAGGCCUAACACAUGCAAGUCGAACGGUAACAGGAAGACGCUUGCUUCUUUGCUGACGAGUGGCGGACGGGUGAGUAAUGUCUGGGAAACUGCCUGAUGGAGGGGGAUAACUACUGGAAACGGUAGCUAAUACCGCAUAAUGUCGCAAGACCAAAGAGGGGGACCUUCGGGCCUCUUGCCAUCGGAUGUGCCCAGAUGGGAUUAGCUAGUAGGUGGGGUAACGGCUCACCUAGGCGACGAUCCCUAGCUGGUCUGAGAGGAUGACCAGCCACACUGGAACUGAGACACGGUCCAGACUCCUACGGGAGGCAGCAGUGGGGAAUAUUGCACAAUGGGCGCAAGCCUGAUGCAGCUAUGCCGCGUGUAUGAAGAAGGCCUUCGGGUUGUAAAGUACUUUCAGCGGGGAGGAAGGGAGUAAAGUUAAUACCUUUGCUCAUUGACGUUACCCGCAGAAGAAGCACCGGCUAACUCCGUG